UACGUAGGGACCAAGCGUUGUUCGGAUUUACUGGGCGUAAAGAGCGCGUAGGCGGCGUAUUAAGUCAGCUGUGAAAUCUCCAAGCUUAACUUGGAACGGUCAGCUGAUACUGAUGUGCUAGAGUGCAGAAGGGGCAAUCGGAAUUCUUGGUGUAGCGGUGAAAUGCGUAGAUAUCAAGAGGAACACCUGAGGUGAAGACGGGUUGCUGGGCUGACACUGACGCUGAAGCGCGAAAGCUAGGGUAGCAAACGGG
Molecule: ribosomal RNA, 253 nt
Filed under: uncultured bacterium
Lineage: Bacteria
Description: partial 16S ribosomal RNA
Rfam family: Bacterial small subunit ribosomal RNA
Source: RNAcentral